AAAAAAAAGAUCAAUGCAACGAAAUGUUUUUUUGCCAUAACAACAGUCCAUGUGUAUCGCAGGGCCGGGGCGUGACGACCUUAUUCCUGACAUUGCACAAUAAUGCUGCAAAUGAAGCGGAGCACAAACAUGCGGCAGCUGACACACAAGCUGACACUGCUGCGCUUUGACCCAGGACUGGUUCCUCAGCCCUGCCAUAAUCGCGUGGCUGAUAAUAAACGGUUGCUUCUUCACCUGCCUGUGCCGGAGCUUCCUGAGCUGAUGAUAUAUAUGUGGGACAACGGGGUGGAGAUGACAAUGUAGGUGUGGAGGAAGUCAAAUGCAGGUGUGUGUGUGUGCUGUCCCAGGUGGGUGCUGACAGACCGGCAGGUAAACAGGCAGGUUGGUCUCUGAUCUCACCUGUUGGAGCAGACACAGCAGCGCCUGCAGGGCCUCUGCAGCGGAAACGUGUUCUUUAUGUGAUGCUGGAAAAGCCAGAUCAGCUCUUCUUCUCUUCUCUUGUUGAGCAGUGAGGUGACUGCAGUGUAUUCUUUUCUCUUUUUUUUUGCCAGUAAACCUUGAGUUUAGUUUCCGUGAGAUGACUUCAGAUACGGACGGUUUCGGUAGCACUUGGGGGUUUUGGUGGGGUUUUGUGUACAGCUGCUGAUCCGUCACUAAUUCUUUAAGUUUUGUAAUUAGAUUUCGGGUUAUUAAAGGAGUCUUCUCUUCUCUUUCUCCCAGGUGCAAAAGGGGGGCGGGCCCCAAAGGGAGGAAGAAGAAAUCCUUGGGACCACGGCAACGCAGGGACAGACGAGGGUCCCUCAUUUUAAAAAAAAACACAUAACCUCGAGGUCCGGAGGAACCAUAUUUUCACUGGACGACCCAGGCUCGGCGUCCCAUGUUGACAAGCAUCUGCUGUGCCGAAACGGCCCGAAGCGAGACCCUGAAUCCGUGCCAGCUGCAGGGGGUGCUGCUCUGUCGCUGACCCUGACCUCUGAACUUCCUGAGUUUGUGGAAAAGCCAUCGACACUUGGAAUGUCCAGAAUGCGAGGGGAAGCGAGAGUCUUUUGGAGCCACGCCCCCCUGACGGCGGGUCAAACUUCAGUGAUUGGUUCAUCCCUGGGGGUCAGAGGGCAAUUGCAAUCCUGUCACUCCUCUGAAGAAAGGUCGGGGGUCAACUUCCACCGGAGCUCUCUUUUUCCUCCCAUCUCCCGUGUCCGAGGAGGGACGGACCAUCAAAGUCGAAAGAUUCAUCGAAAUUGUCCACACUGGGAAAAAAAGCAAGAAUAACGUCCAUCUGGUGGGACUGUGGGAGGAAGCCAGGAUGCCCCCGAACAGAACCCACGUGCACACACGGGGAAGAACGCGCAGACUCCAUAGGAAAAGGCCCUUGAUCGAACCGGUGACCUUGUUACUGUGAGGCAACAACGCUAUAGCCACUG
This is an RNA transcript of Solea senegalensis (Senegalese sole), 1421 nucleotides long. RefSeq lists it as uncharacterized. The record is from RefSeq and is a predicted model, not a curated record. Lineage: Eukaryota; Metazoa; Chordata; Actinopteri; Pleuronectiformes; Soleidae. The transcript is spliced from 5 exons.